UCCUACGGGUGGCAGCAGUGGGGAAUUUUGCGCAAUGGGCGAAAGCCUGACGCAGCAACGCCGCGUGCGGGAAGAAGGCCCUCGGGUUGUAAACCGCUUUCGGCAGGAACGAAAUUGACGGUACCUGCAGAAGAAGCCCCGGCCAACUACGUGCCAGCAGCCGCGGUAAUACGUAGGGGGCGAGCGUUGUCCGGAUUCAUUGGGCGUAAAGAGCUCGUAGGCGGUUCGGUAAGUCAGAUGUGAAAACUCCAGGCUCAACUUGGAGACGCCAUCUGAUACUGUCGUGACUAGAGUCCGGUAGGGGAGCACGGAAUUCCUGGUGUAGCGGUGAAAUGCGCAGAUAUCAGGAGGAACACCAGCGGCGAAGGCGGUGCUCUGGGCCGGAACUGACGCUGAGGAGCGAAAGCGUGGGUAGCGAACAGGAUUAGAUACCCUAGUAGUCG
RNAcentral lists this ribosomal RNA (443 nucleotides) under uncultured Acidimicrobiales bacterium. Its description in RNAcentral is "bacterial SSU rRNA". It matches the Rfam family "Bacterial small subunit ribosomal RNA", at positions 337 to 796 of the family's 1533-position model. The record is from RNAcentral. Lineage: Bacteria; Bacillati; Actinomycetota; Acidimicrobiia; Acidimicrobiales.